GACAGAGGGUGCAAGCGUUAAUCGGAAUUAUUGGGCGUAAAGCGCGCGUAGGUGGAUUGGUAAGUUGGAUGUGAAAUCCCUGGGCUUAACCUGGGAACUGCAUUCAAUACUGCUAAUCUAGAGUACAGUAGAGGGAAGUGGAAUUUCCGGUGUAGCAGUGAAAUGCGUAGAUAUCGGAAGGAACAUCAGUGGCGAAGGCGACUUCCUGGGCUGAUACUGACACUGAGGCGCGAAAGCGUGGGGAGCAAACAGG
Molecule: ribosomal RNA, 253 nt
Filed under: uncultured bacterium
Lineage: Bacteria
Description: partial 16S ribosomal RNA
Rfam family: Bacterial small subunit ribosomal RNA
Source: RNAcentral